This 465-nucleotide ribosomal RNA is filed under the name Vreelandella stevensii. RNAcentral describes it as "partial 16S ribosomal RNA". It matches the Rfam family "Bacterial small subunit ribosomal RNA", at positions 338 to 795 of the family's 1533-position model. The record is from RNAcentral. Lineage: Bacteria; Pseudomonadati; Pseudomonadota; Gammaproteobacteria; Oceanospirillales; Halomonadaceae.
CCUACGGAGCGCAGCAGUGGGGAAUAUUGGACAAUGGGCGAAAGCCUGAUCCAGCCAUGCCGCGUGUGUGAAGAAGGCCUUCGGGUUGUAAAGCACUUUCAGUGGGGAAGAAAGCCUUGGGGCUAAUACCCUCGAGGAAGGACAUCACCCACAGAAGAAGCACCGGCUAACUCCGUGCCAGCAGCCGCGGUAAUACGGAGGGUGCGAGCGUUAAUCGGAAUUACUGGGCGUAAAGCGCGCGUAGGCGGUCUGAUAAGCCGGUUGUGAAAGCCCCGGGCUCAACCUGGGAACGGCAUCCGGAACUGUCAGGCUAGAGUGCAGGAGAGGAAGGUAGAAUUCCCGGUGUAGCGGUGAAAUGCGUAGAGAUCGGGAGGAAUACCAGUGGCGAAGGCGGCCUUCUGGACUGACACUGACGCUGAGGUGCGAAAGCGUGGGUAGCAAACAGGAUUAGAUACCCUUGUAGUC